This is a non-coding RNA of Parelaphostrongylus tenuis, 73 nucleotides long. The record is from the annotation of a GenBank genome assembly. NCBI's taxonomy places the organism in Eukaryota, Metazoa, Nematoda, Chromadorea, Rhabditida, Metastrongylidae.
GCGUCGCUGGUUCAACGGUUUAGAACGUGCUACCGAAAAGAGUAAGAUCUGGGUUCGAAUUCCGGCUAACGCA